RNAcentral lists this unclassified non-coding RNA (391 nucleotides) under soil metagenome. RNAcentral's name for it is "partial contains 5.8S ribosomal RNA, internal transcribed spacer 2, and large subunit ribosomal RNA". The stretch from base 1 to 122 matches the Rfam family "5.8S ribosomal RNA", at positions 35 to 154 of the family's 154-position model. The record is from RNAcentral.
GAUGAAGAACGUAGCGAAAUGCGAUACUUGGUGUGAAUUGCAGAAUCCCGUGAACCAUCGAGUCUUUGAACGCAAGUUGCGCCCGAAGCCAUUAGGCCGAGGGCACGCCUGCCUGGGCGUCACACGUCGUUGCACCCCCAUCUACUCCUUCGGGAUUGCGGGGGGCGGAUGAUGGCCUCCCGUGCGCCUCGUCGCGCGGUUGGCAUAAAUGCCAAGUCCUCGGCGACGCACGCCACGACAAUCGGUGGUUGCGAAACCUCGGUUGCCCGUCGUGUGCGGUCGUCGCGCAUCGAGGGCUCGAAAAAAUUGCCGGGCUCCGGCUCGGCUUUCAACGCGACCCCAGGUCAGGCGGGGUUACCCGCUGAAUUUAAGCAUAUCAAUAAGCGGAGGA